CCAGCAAGUCGACCACGUACGCCCCCUUCUCCUGCAGCUCCGCGGCGUGCGCACAGCUCGGAAACAAUGGCGACGGCUGCUCAAACUCAGGGUGCCAGUACAGGGUCCAGUACGGCGACGGCUCCAACACCACCGGCACCUACGGCUCCGACACGCUGGCGCUAAGCGCCUCCGACACGGUCACGGACUUCCACUUCGGUUGCAGCCAUCACGAGGAGGACUUCGACGGCGAGAAAUUCGACGGGCUCAUGGGGCUCGG
Molecule: long non-coding RNA, 259 nt
Filed under: Hordeum vulgare
Lineage: Eukaryota; Viridiplantae; Streptophyta; Magnoliopsida; Poales; Poaceae
Description: long non-coding RNA (HVUL_LNC016630)
Source: RNAcentral